CGGAGGUGCAAGCGUUAUCCGGAAUCAUUGGGUUAAGGGUCCGCAGGCGGACUGUAAGUCAGUGGUGAAUCCGGCAGCUCAACUGUCGCACUGCCAUUGAUACUGCAGUCCUUGAAUUUGAUUGGAGUGGGCGGAAUAUGUCAUGUAGCGGUGAAAUGCUUAGAUAUGACAUAGAACACCGAUAGCGAAGGCAGCUCACUAAGUCUGAAUUGACGCUCAUGGACGAAAGCGCGGUAGCAAACAGGAUU
Molecule: ribosomal RNA, 248 nt
Filed under: uncultured bacterium
Lineage: Bacteria
Description: partial 16S ribosomal RNA
Rfam family: Bacterial small subunit ribosomal RNA
Source: RNAcentral